GCCUAAAGCGUCCGUAGCCGGCUUUGUAAGUUUUCGAUUAAAUCUAUAUGCUCAACAUAUAGGCUGCCGGAAAUACUGUAAAGCUAGGGAGUGGGAGAGGUAGACGGUACUCCGUAGGAAGGGGUAAAAUCCUUUGAUCUAUGGAUGACCACCUGUGGCGAAGGCGGUCUACCAGAACACGUCCGACGGUGAGGGAUGAAAGCUGGGGGAGCAAACCGGAUUAGAUACCCGGGUAGUCCCAGCUGUAAACUAUGCAAACUCAGUGAUGCAUUGGCUUGUGGCCAGUGCAGUGCCGCAGGGAAGCCGUUAAGUUUGCCGCCUGGGAAGUACGUACGCAAGUAUGAAACUUAAAGGAAUUGGCGGGGGAGCACCACAAGGGGUGAAGCCUGCGGUUCAAUUGGAGUCAACGCCAGAAAUCUUACCCGGAGAGACAGCAGGAUGAAGGUCAAGCUGAAGACUUUACCAGACAAGCUGAGAAGUGGUGCAUGGCCGUCGCCAGCUCGUGCCGUGAGGUGUCCUGUUAAGUCAGGUAACGAGCGAGAUCCUUGCCUCUAGUUGCUACCAUUACUCUCAGGAGUAGUGGAGCGAAUUAGCGGGACUGCCGUAGUUAAUACGGAGGAAGGAGAGGGCCACGGCAGGUCAGUAUGCCCCGAA
RNAcentral lists this ribosomal RNA (654 nucleotides) under uncultured archaeon. RNAcentral's name for it is "bacterial SSU rRNA". It matches the Rfam family "Archaeal small subunit ribosomal RNA", at positions 508 to 1160 of the family's 1478-position model. The record is from RNAcentral.